Molecule: non-coding RNA, 75 nt
Filed under: Desulfobacca sp.
Lineage: Bacteria; Pseudomonadati; Thermodesulfobacteriota; Desulfobaccia; Desulfobaccales; Desulfobaccaceae
Description: c-di-GMP sequence
Rfam family: c-di-GMP-I-GGC riboswitch aptamer
Source: RNAcentral
GCGGAUAAAGCCAAACCCGCCGCGAGGCGGGGACGGAAAGCCACGGGUCUCACCGAGACCGCCGGGUUGCCUAAG